GUUGGGAAUCUUGCGCAAUGGGCGAAAGCCUGACGCAGCAACGCCGCGUGCGGGAUGAAGGCCUUCGGGUUGUAAACCGCUUUCAGCAGGGACGAAAAUGACGGUACCUGCAGAAGAAGCUCCGGCUAACUACGUGCCAGCAGCCGCGGUAAUACGUAGGGAGCAAGCGUUGUCCGGAUUUAUUGGGCGUAAAGAGCUCGUAGGCGGUUUCGUAAGUCGAGUGUGAAAAAUCUGGGCUUAACCCAGUGGAGCACUCGAUACUGCGAUGACUUGAGUCUGGUAGAGGAGUGUGGAAUUCCUGGUGUAGCGGUGAAAUGCGCAGAUAUCAGGAGGAACACCAACGGCGAAGGCAGCACUCUGGGCCAGUACUGACGCUGAGGAGCGAAAGCGUGGGGAGCAAACAGGAUUAGAUACCCGGGUAGUCC
This 425-nucleotide ribosomal RNA is filed under the name uncultured bacterium. RNAcentral's name for it is "partial 16S ribosomal RNA". It matches the Rfam family "Bacterial small subunit ribosomal RNA", at positions 354 to 796 of the family's 1533-position model. The record is from RNAcentral.